AACGAACGCUGGCGGCAGGCCUAACACAUGCAAGUCGAACGCCGUAGCAAUACGGAGUGGCAGACGGGUGAGUAACACGUGGGAACGUACCCUUCGGUUCGGAAUAACUCAGGGAAACUUGAGCUAAUACCGGAUACGUCCGAGAGGAGAAAGAUUUAUCGCCGAGGGAUCGGCCCGCGUCUGAUUAGCUUGUUGGUGAGGUAACGGCUCACCAAGGCGACGAUCAGUAGCUGGCUGAGAGGAUGAUCAGCCACAUUGGGACUGAGACACGGCCCAAACUCCUACGGGAGGCAGCAGUGGGGAAUAUUGGACAAUGGGCGCAAGCCUGAUCCGGGACNCCAUGCCGCGUGAGUGAUGAAGGCCC
RNAcentral lists this ribosomal RNA (364 nucleotides) under uncultured bacterium. RNAcentral describes it as "bacterial SSU rRNA". It matches the Rfam family "Bacterial small subunit ribosomal RNA", at positions 29 to 417 of the family's 1533-position model. The record is from RNAcentral.